This 688-nucleotide ribosomal RNA is filed under the name uncultured Bacteroidales bacterium. Its description in RNAcentral is "bacterial SSU rRNA". It matches the Rfam family "Bacterial small subunit ribosomal RNA", at positions 47 to 727 of the family's 1533-position model. The record is from RNAcentral. Lineage: Bacteria; Pseudomonadati; Bacteroidota; Bacteroidia; Bacteroidales.
CUUAACACAUGCAAGUCGAGGGGCAGCACGAUGUAGCAAUACAUUGGUGGCGACCGGCGCACGGGUGAGUAACGCGUAUGCAACCUACCUAUCAGAGGGGAAUAACCCGGCGAAAGUCGGACUAAUACCGCAUAAAACAGGGGUUCCACAUGGAAAUAUUUGUUAAAGAAUUAUCGCUGAUAGAUGGGCAUGCGUUCCAUUAGAUAGUUGGUGAGGUAACGGCUCACCAAGUCCACGAUGGAUAGGGGUUCUGAGAGGAAGGUCCCCCACACUGGUACUGAGACACGGACCAGACUCCUACGGGAGGCAGCAGUGAGGAAUAUUGGUCAAUGGGCGAGAGCCUGAACCAGCCAAGUCGCGUGAAGGAUGAAGGAUCUAUGGUUUGUAAACUUCUUUUAUAUGGGAAUAAAGUGAGGAACGUGUUCCUUUUUGUAUGUACCAUAUGAAUAAGCAUCGGCUAACUCCGUGCCAGCAGCCGCGGUAAUACGGAGGAUGCGAGCGUUAUCCGGAUUUAUUGGGUUUAAAGGGUGCGUAGGUGGUUAAUUAAGUCAGCGGUGAAAGUUUGUGGCUCAACCAUAAAAUUGCCGUUGAAACUGGUUGACUUGAGUAUAUUUGAGGUAGGCGGAAUGCGUGGUGUAGCGGUGAAAUGCAUAGAUAUCACGCAGAACUCCGAUUGCGAAGGCAGCUU